UACGGAGGGUGCAAGCGUUGUCCGGAUUUAUUGGGUUUAAAGGGUGCGUAGGCGGCUGAAUAAGUCAGCGGUGAAAGACUUCGGCUUAACCGGAGCAGUGCCGUUGAUACUGUUUAGCUUGAGUGUUGGAGGGGUACAUGGAAUUGAUGGUGUAGCGGUGAAAUGCAUAGAUACCAUCAGGAACACCGAUAGCGAAGGCAUUGUACUGGCCAACAACUGACGCUGAGGCACGAAAGUGUGGGGAUCGAACAGG
Molecule: ribosomal RNA, 253 nt
Filed under: bacterium
Lineage: Bacteria
Also listed under: 3 other names
Description: partial 16S ribosomal RNA
Rfam family: Bacterial small subunit ribosomal RNA
Source: RNAcentral